UACGUAGGGGGCAAGCGUUGUCCGGAAUCAUUGGGCGUAAAGCGCGUGUAGGCGGCUCGGUAAGUCUGCUGUGAAAGUCCAGGGCUCAACCCUGGAAAGCCGGUGGAUACUGUCGGGCUAGAGUCCGGAAGAGGCGAGUGGAAUUCCUGGUGUAGCGGUGGAAUGCGCAGAUAUCAGGAGGAACACCGAUAGCGAAGGCAGCUCGCUGGGACGGUACUGACGCUGAGGCGCGAAAGCGUGGGGAGCGAACAGG
Molecule: ribosomal RNA, 253 nt
Filed under: uncultured bacterium
Lineage: Bacteria
Description: partial 16S ribosomal RNA
Rfam family: Bacterial small subunit ribosomal RNA
Source: RNAcentral